GUGCCAAGCAGCCGCGGUAAUUCCAGCUCCAAUAGCGUAUAUUAAAGUUGUUGUGGUUAAAAAGCUCGUAGUUGAACCUUGGGCCUGGCUGGCCGGUCCGCCUCACCGCGUGCACCGGUCCGGCCGGGCCUUUCCCUCUGUGGAACCCCAUACCCUUCACUGGGCGUGGCGGGGAAACAGGACAUUUACUUUGAAAAAAUUAGAGUGCUCCAGGCAGGCCUAUGCUCGAAUACAUUAGCAUGGAAUAAUAAAAUAGGACGCGCGGUUCUAUUUUGUUGGUUUAUAGGACCGCCGUAAUGAUUAAUAGGGACAGUCGGGGGCAUCAGUAUUCAACUGUCAGAGGUGAAAUUCUUGGAUCAGUUGAAGACUAACUACUGCGAAAGCAUUUGCCAAGGAUGUUUUCAUUAAUCAGGAACGAAAGUUAGGGGAUCGAAGACGAUCAGAUACCGUCGUAGUCUUAACCAUAAACUAUGCCGACUAGGGAUCGGACGGUGUUAUUCAUGACCCGUUCGGCACCUUACGAGAAAUCAAAGUGCUUGGGCUCCAGGGGGAGUAUGGUCGCAAGGCUGAAACUUAAAGAAAUUGACGGAAGGGCACCACCAGGGGUGGAGCCUGCGGCUUAAUUUGACUCAACACGGGGAAACUCACCAGGUCCAGACACAAUAAGGAUUGACAGAUUGAGAGCUCUUUCUUGAUUUUGUGGGUGGUGGUGCAUGGCCGUUCUUAGUUGGUGGGGUGGCUUGUCUGCUUAAUUGCGAUAACGAACGAGACCUUAACCUGCUAAAUAGCCCGCAUUGC
This 798-nucleotide ribosomal RNA is filed under the name uncultured fungus. RNAcentral's name for it is "SSU rRNA". It matches the Rfam family "Eukaryotic small subunit ribosomal RNA", at positions 564 to 1368 of the family's 1831-position model. Lineage: Eukaryota; Fungi. The record is from RNAcentral.